CGUAACAAGGUCUCCGUUGGUGAACCAGCGGAGGGAUCAUUACCGAGUUUACAACUCCCAAACCCCUGUGAACAUACCUAUACGUUGCCUCGGCGGAUCAGCCCGCGCCCCGUAAAACGGGACGGCCCGCCCGAGGACCCUAAACUCUGUUUUUAGUGGAACUUCUGAGUAAAACAAACAAAUAAAUCAAAACUUUCAACAACGGAUCUCUUGGUUCUGGCAUCGAUGAAGAACGCAGCAAAAUGCGAUAAGUAAUGUGAAUUGCAGAAUUCAGUGAAUCAUCGAAUCUUUGAACGCACAUUGCGCCCGCCAGUAUUCUGGCGGGCAUGCCUGUUCGAGCGUCAUUUCAACCCUCAAGCUCAGCUUGGUGUUGGGACUCGCGGUAACCCGCGUUCCCCAAAUCGAUUGGCGGUCACGUCGAGCUUCCAUAGCGUAGUAAUAAUACACCUCGUUACUGGUAAUCGUCGCGGCCACGCCGUAAAACCCCAACUUCUGAAUGUUGACCUCGGAUCAGGUAGGAAUACCCGCUGAACUUAAGCAUAUCAA
Molecule: ribosomal RNA, 546 nt
Filed under: Fusarium equiseti
Lineage: Eukaryota; Fungi; Ascomycota; Sordariomycetes; Hypocreales; Nectriaceae
Description: eukaryotic LSU rRNA
Rfam family: 5.8S ribosomal RNA (bases 191-344)
Source: RNAcentral